UGCAUAUCCAUAAGCGGAGGAAAAGAAACCAACCAGGGAUUGCGUUAGUAGCGGCGAGUGAAGCGGCAAAAGCUCAAAUGUGAAAUCUGGCGCAUUCGGUGUCCGAGUUGUAAUUUGAAGAUUGUAACCUUGGGGUUGGCUCUUGUCUAUGUUUCUUGGAACAGGACGUCACAGAGGGUGAGAAUCCCGUGCGAUGAGAUGCCCAAUUCUAUGUAAGGUGCUUUCGAAGAGUCGAGUUGUUUGGGAAUGCAGCUCUAAGUGGGUGGUAAAUUCCAUCUAAAGUUAAAUAUUGGCGAGAGACCGAUAGCGAACAAGUACAGUGAUGGAAAGAUGAAAAGAACUUUGAAAAGAGAGUGAAAAAGUACGUGAAAUUGUUGAAAGGGAAGGGUUUGAGAUCAGACUCGAUAUUUUGUGAGCCUUGCUUUCGUGGCGGGGUGACCCGCAGCUUAUCCGGCCAGCAUCCGUUUGGGCGGUAGGAUAAUGGCGUAGGAAUGUGACUUUACUUUGGUGAAGUGUUAUAGCCUGCGUUGAUGCUGCCUGCAUAGACCGAGGACCGCGAUUAUGCAAGAUGCCUGA
RNAcentral lists this ribosomal RNA (576 nucleotides) under Meyerozyma guilliermondii. RNAcentral's name for it is "eukaryotic LSU rRNA". It matches the Rfam family "Eukaryotic large subunit ribosomal RNA", at positions 37 to 616 of the family's 3401-position model. The record is from RNAcentral. Lineage: Eukaryota; Fungi; Ascomycota; Pichiomycetes; Serinales; Debaryomycetaceae.